Molecule: ribosomal RNA, 153 nt
Filed under: Coronocyclus labiatus
Lineage: Eukaryota; Metazoa; Nematoda; Chromadorea; Rhabditida; Strongylidae
Description: 5.8S ribosomal RNA
Rfam family: 5.8S ribosomal RNA
About the family: 5.8S ribosomal RNA (5.8S rRNA) is a component of the large subunit of the eukaryotic ribosome.
Source: RNAcentral
CUAGCUUCAGCGAUGGAUCGGUCGAUUCGCGUAUCGAUGAAAAACGCAGCAAGCUGCGUUAUUUACCACGAAUUGCAGACACUUAGAGUGGUAAAAUUUUGAACGCAUAGCACCGUUGGGUUUUCCCUUCGGCACGUCUGGUUCAGGGUUGUU